Molecule: ribosomal RNA, 726 nt
Filed under: uncultured bacterium
Lineage: Bacteria
Description: bacterial SSU rRNA
Rfam family: Bacterial small subunit ribosomal RNA
Source: RNAcentral
GGUAGUCCACGCCGUAAACGAUGUCGACUUGGAGGUUGUGCCCUUGAGGCGUGGCUUCCGGAGCUAACGCGUUAAGUCGACCGCCUGGGGAGUACGGCCGCAAGGUUAAAACUCAAAUGAAUUGACGGGGGCCCGCACAAGCGGUGGAGCAUGUGGUUUAAUUCGAUGCAACGCGAAGAACCUUACCUACUCUUGACAUCCAGAGAACUUAGCAGAGAUGCUUUGGUGCCUUCGGGAACUCUGAGACAGGUGCUGCAUGGCUGUCGUCAGCUCGUGUUGUGAAAUGUUGGGUUAAGUCCCGCAACGAGCGCAACCCUUAUCCUUUGUUGCCAGCGGUUAGGCCGGGAACUCAAAGGAGACUGCCAGUGAUAAACUGGAGGAAGGUGGGGAUGACGUCAAGUCAUCAUGGCCCUUACGAGUAGGGCUACACACGUGCUACAAUGGCGCAUACAAAGAGAAGCGACCUCGCGAGAGCAAGCGGACCUCAUAAAGUGCGUCGUAGUCCGGAUUGGAGUCUGCAACUCGACUCCAUGAAGUCGGAAUCGCUAGUAAUCGUAGAUCAGAAUGCUACGGUGAGUACGUUCCCGGGCCUUGUACACACCGCCCGUCACACCAUGGGAGUGGGUUGCAAAAGAAGUAGGUAGCUUAACCUUCGGGAGGGCGCUUACCACUUUGUGAUUCAUGACUGGGGUGAAGUCGUAACAAGGUAACCGUAGGGGAACCUGC